UACGGAGGAUCCAAGCGUUAUCCGGAAUUACUGGGCGUAAAGAGUUGCGUAGGCGGCAUUGUAAGUAGGUAGUGAAAUCCUGGGGCUCAACCCUUUAAACAUUAUCUAAACUGCAAAGCUAGAAUAUAGAAGAGGUAGCUGGAAUUCCUUGUGUAGGAGUGAAAUCCGUAGAUAUAAGGAGGAACACCGAUGGCGUAGGCAGGCUACUGGUCUAUUAUUGACGCUAAGGCACGAAAGCGUGGGGAGCAAACGGG
This 254-nucleotide ribosomal RNA is filed under the name uncultured bacterium. RNAcentral's name for it is "partial 16S ribosomal RNA". It matches the Rfam family "Bacterial small subunit ribosomal RNA", at positions 524 to 776 of the family's 1533-position model. The record is from RNAcentral. RNAcentral also lists the same sequence under 1 other name.